UCAGAGAAAAGUGAAGGUCCUUCCAGGAGCUGGUGGUAACCUCACUGGAAAAAUACUGCAAAGUUAGUAUAACAGCGGGAACAUGAAGCUGCCACUCUUGGUGUUUAUUGUGUAUCUGCUCUGGUUGAAAGACUGUCACUGUGCACCUACUUGGAAGGACAAAACUGCAAUCCAUGAAAACCUGAAGGGAUUUUCUGAGGCUGGGGAGAUAGAUGUUGAUGAAGAAGUGAAGAAGGCUCUGAUUGGUAUGAAACAGAUGAAAAUCAUGAUGAAAAGGAGAGAGGAGGAACAUACUCAUAUAAUGAAAACCCUCAAGAAAUGCAGAGAAGAAAAACAGGAAGCCCUGAAACUUAUGAAUGAAGUUCAAGAACAUCUGGAAGAGGAAGAAAGGCGAUGCCAGGAGUCUCUGACAGAUUCCUGGGAUGAAUGCAAGUCUUGCCUGGAAAGUGACUGCAUGAGACUUUAUACAACCUGCCAACCUAGUCGGUCCUCUACAGAAAAUAUGAUUGAACAGUUUUUUAGGAAGAUAUAUCAAUUUCUAUUUCCUUUCCAUGAAGAUAAUAGAAAAGAUCUCCCCGUCGGUGAGAAGGUCAUGGAGGAAGAUGCGCAAGUGACCCAAAUAGAGCACAUGUUCAACCACCUGACUGUGGAUGUGAGAUUUCUCUUUAACAGGAGUUUUAACGUCUUCAAACAGAUGCAGCAAGAAUUUGAUGAGGCUUUUCAGUCAUAUUUCAUGUCAGAUACAGACUUAAUUGAGCCUUAUGUUUUUCCAGCGUUAUUCAAAGAGCCAACAAAAAAAGCAGAUGUUGUGCAGAGUUGGGACCUUCCCAGCUUCUUCCAGCUGUUUUGUAAUUUCAGUCUCUCCAUUUAUCAAAGUGUCAGUACAGCAAUUACUGAGAUGCUGAAUGCAAUGGUGGACUUACCAAAACAACACGAAGAUGCUGACCCCGGAGGCCUGAGUUCAAAGACAAUGUCUGGGCAGGACAGAGGACUGUGUGAAGAACUUGGCCAGAAUCUGUCAGAAUGUUUCCAAGUUCAUGCAAGAUGCCAAAAAUGUCAGGAUUAUCUAUCGGAAGACUGUCCUGACAUACCUGAACUAUACACAAAAGUAGAUGAGGCUCUUAAAUUGGUCAACAUAUCUGAUCAGCAGUAUGUCCAGAUUCUCCAAGUGAUGCAGUAUCAUUUGGAAGACACUACAUAUUUGAUGGAGAAGAUGAGAGAGGAAUUUGGCUGGGUGACUGAACUGGAAAACCAGACUCCAGGAACUGAGAACACCUUCAAUUCCAUAAAGGUAGUUCCACCUGUUCACCACGGAAAUGUUUCCAAACAAGAUGAUACGAUGAUAGGCUUAAGCAUUCUGCCUUCCCCUAAUUUCACACUCAAGAUCCCUCUUGAAGAAAGUUCUGAGAGUUCUAACUUCAUUAGCUACAUGCUGGAAAAAGCUAUACAGCAUUUUAAGGAACAUUUUAAAACUUGUUGUAGCAACCAAGACCAACACAGCUAAAAGAAAUGGAAGAAUACUGUCUCACUCACAAAAUCAAAGGGGAAGCCAGACAAUCAUACCUGGGGCUCAAACUCUAUAGACCACGGUACGAAGAUCUGAUGCAUUCUAUACCCAACAAGUAGAAUUAUCUCUUCAGUUGAGACCUGAAAAUCCUGAAAUACAGUAAACAAAGCUGCAGGAAUGUACAUCAGUUAAAUAUUAUGAAGUACUCUUAAUCUCUUAUGUUGAAUGGCAGUUUAAUAGCUAUGCAAAUUGAGUUACAAUAAAAAUUCAAAACAUCAAA
This is an RNA transcript of Molossus molossus (Pallas's mastiff bat), 1787 nucleotides long. It is a transcript of the gene named clusterin like 1, with no coding region annotated. The record is from RefSeq and is a predicted model, not a curated record. Lineage: Eukaryota; Metazoa; Chordata; Mammalia; Chiroptera; Molossidae. The transcript is spliced from 10 exons.